UUACUUCACAUUAAGGCAGUACACACAGUAAAACUGGAACAAUACAGAGAAGAUUAUCAUGUCCCCAGGGCAAAGGAUGACAUGCAAAUUUGUGAAAUGACCCAUAUUUUA
This is a small nuclear RNA of Sphaerodactylus townsendi, 111 nucleotides long. The record is from RefSeq and is a predicted model, not a curated record. NCBI's taxonomy places the organism in Eukaryota, Metazoa, Chordata, Lepidosauria, Squamata, Sphaerodactylidae.